UUCGAUAAGAUUUUCGCUGAUGCAGUCCAAAGGGAGAUUUUGCAUGUCUUGAAAGUACAGCGAACUACUAUACUAUUUUCAUUGGAGUUACAAUUUUGUACGGAAGUGAUAUUAUUGUAGUCAAUGAACGAAAGAGGGGAUUGCUGAAUAUUGUUCACUCAAUCAUCCUAAUCAGUUAGGAUCCUAGGAAGAUCUCAACAAAGAUGUCACUCGUCACAGUCCAACGGUCUCCCAGCAAUAGCAAUGCGAGUUCGACCAUUUCGACUCUGGCUAAACUUUGGAGACCACUGUACCAUGCACAUAUAGGAUUGACAAUUUGACAUUGGACCAAACAAACUUCUGCUGACUCUUCCUACGUGAUUAACAUGACUAUGUUAUGCUCUCAUCCAUGCUGUGGAAAGCUUUGGAACUGAGUUUCUAGGAAAGGUUAAGAUUGUUGGGAGUGCUCAGGCCUCGGGAUUCAUAUCAGCGAGAGUGGAUUUAUAAGGGUAGGAAACACCAUGGCCAGACUUAUCCGUGUGGAAUCAGUGGAUGUGG
Molecule: long non-coding RNA, 537 nt
Organism: Strongylocentrotus purpuratus (purple sea urchin)
Lineage: Eukaryota; Metazoa; Echinodermata; Echinoidea; Camarodonta; Strongylocentrotidae
Exons: 2
Source: RefSeq, a predicted model, not a curated record